GUCUUUGAAGUAGAAUUAUGUAAGAUUUUCGAUCUUAAGAUGCUGUAGCCUAAGAUA
RNAcentral lists this transfer RNA (57 nucleotides) under Mesobuthus gibbosus (Mediterranean checkered scorpion). Its description in RNAcentral is "transfer RNA-Glu". The record is from RNAcentral. Lineage: Eukaryota; Metazoa; Arthropoda; Arachnida; Scorpiones; Buthidae.